Molecule: ribosomal RNA, 344 nt
Filed under: uncultured Prevotella sp.
Lineage: Bacteria; Pseudomonadati; Bacteroidota; Bacteroidia; Bacteroidales; Prevotellaceae
Description: bacterial SSU rRNA
Rfam family: Bacterial small subunit ribosomal RNA
Source: RNAcentral
AGUAGUUUGAUCCUGGCUCGAGGAUGAACGCUAGCUACAGGCUUAACACAUGCAAGUCGGAGGGGCAUCAUGACGAAAGCUUGUCUUUGUUGAUGGCGACCGGCGCACGGGUGAGUAACGCGUAUCCAACCCUUCCCCUUAGUAGAGGAUAGCCCGGCGAAAGUCGGAUUAAUACUCUAUGUUCUUUCUGGAUGGCAUCUGAUGGAGAGCAAAGGUUCACCGCUAAGGGAUGGGGAUGCGUCUGAUUAGGUUGUUGGCGGGGUAACGGCCCACCGAGCCAUCGAUCAGUAGGGGUUCUGAGAGGAAGGUCCCCCACACUGGUACUGAGACACGGACCAGACUCC